GGGGGGCUACUUCGGUGGCCUCGGAUGCUCGAUGGUCGGGAGAGGAAGUCGCGGCGGCGGGGCUGCUUCGGGCAAGAGAUUGAAGAAGAAGAAGAAGACAUUUUUCUUUAUUUUUUUUUUAUUUGUUCUCCCUAUCAAAACGACGUCGUUUUGAACGCGUGGCUUGCCACCGUGUAAUAAAUGCCACACGUAAUGCCAUGUAGUUUAAAAUAGUGUCCACGUCAUCGCUGGUCAAACAUGAGAGUGGUCGGAACUUCCGCUGGGUGCAAAUUGCAACUAAAUCAAAAGAUCAUGUAUUAUGGAGCUAUUUUUGAAGGUUAUGAGCAAUAUGCAAAACCGAAAAUAGUUGGUGUAUUUUCCGACUAUUAACCCUUGUUUUAAUAAUAUGUUGAAUCACUGCG
This 401-nucleotide long non-coding RNA is filed under the name Salvia miltiorrhiza (redroot sage). Its description in RNAcentral is "long non-coding RNA (SMIL_LNC014207)". Lineage: Eukaryota; Viridiplantae; Streptophyta; Magnoliopsida; Lamiales; Lamiaceae. The record is from RNAcentral.